CCUACGGGAUGCAGCAGUAGGGAAUUUUCGUCAAUGGGCGCAAGCCUGAACGAGCGAUGCCGCGUGAGUGAAGAAGGCAUUCGGGUCGUAAAGCUCUGUUGCGGGGGAAAAAAGGCAGCAUCAGGAAAUGGGUACUGACUGAUGGUGCCCCGCCAGAAAGUCACGGCUAACUACGUGCCAGCAGCCGCGGUAAUACGGAGGGGGCGAGCGUUAUCCGGAAGGAUUGGGCGUAAAGGGUGCGCAGGCGGUCCUGCAAGUCUGGAGUGAAACGCAUGAGCUCAACUCAUGCAUGGCUUUGGAAACUGGAGGACUGGAGAGCAGGAGAGGGCGGUGGAACUCCAUGUGUAGCGGUAAAAUGCGUAGAUAUAUGGAAGAACACCAGUGGCGAAGGCGGCCGCCUGGCCUGUUGCUGACGCUGAGGCAAGAAAGCGUGGGGAGCAAAUAGGAUUAGAUACCCUGGUAGUC
This 465-nucleotide ribosomal RNA is filed under the name uncultured bacterium. Its description in RNAcentral is "partial 16S ribosomal RNA". It matches the Rfam family "Bacterial small subunit ribosomal RNA", at positions 338 to 795 of the family's 1533-position model. The record is from RNAcentral.